CGGGGUGUAGCGCAGUCCGGUUAGCGCACCUGCCUUGGGAGCAGGGGGUCGGAAGUUCGAAUCUUCUCGCCCCGACUA
RNAcentral lists this transfer RNA (78 nucleotides) under Candidatus Cloacimonadota bacterium. RNAcentral's name for it is "Candidatus Cloacimonetes bacterium tRNA-Pro". It matches the Rfam family "tRNA". From Rfam's summary of the family: Transfer RNA (tRNA) molecules are approximately 80 nucleotides in length. Their secondary structure includes four short double-helical elements and three loops (D, anti-codon, and T loops). The record is from RNAcentral. Lineage: Bacteria; Pseudomonadati; Candidatus Cloacimonadota. RNAcentral also lists the same sequence under 1 other name.